Molecule: ribosomal RNA, 255 nt
Filed under: uncultured bacterium
Lineage: Bacteria
Description: partial 16S ribosomal RNA
Rfam family: Bacterial small subunit ribosomal RNA
Source: RNAcentral
UACGUAGGGGGGCAAGCGUUGUCCGGAAUUAUUGGGCGUAAAGCGCGUGUAGGCGGCUUUGCAAGUCGGAUGUGAAAGCCCUCGGCUCAACCGAGGAAGUGGCGUUCGAAACUGCAGAGCUUGAGUGCCGGAGAGGGUGGCGGAAUUCCCCAAGUAGAGGUGAAAUUCGUAGAUAUGGGGAGGAACACCGGUGGCGAAGGCGGCAUCCUGGACCGACACUGACGCUGAGGAGCGAAAGCCAGGGGAGCAAACGGG